UACAGGGGGUGCAAACGUUGUUCGGAAUUACUGGGCGUAAAGGGCGCGUAGGCGGCCUGUUAAGUCGGACGUGAAAUCCCUCGGCUCAACCGGGGAACUGCGUCCGAUACUGGCGGGCUUGAAUUCGGGAGAGGGAUGUGGAAUUCCAGGUGUAGCGGUGAAAUGCGUAGAUAUCUGGAGGAACACCGGUGGCGAAGGCGGCAUCCUGGACCGACAUUGACGCUGAGGCGCGAAAGCCAGGGGAGCAAACGGG
This 253-nucleotide ribosomal RNA is filed under the name uncultured bacterium. Its description in RNAcentral is "partial 16S ribosomal RNA". It matches the Rfam family "Bacterial small subunit ribosomal RNA", at positions 524 to 776 of the family's 1533-position model. The record is from RNAcentral.